RNAcentral lists this ribosomal RNA (465 nucleotides) under Vreelandella stevensii. RNAcentral's name for it is "partial 16S ribosomal RNA". It matches the Rfam family "Bacterial small subunit ribosomal RNA", at positions 338 to 795 of the family's 1533-position model. The record is from RNAcentral. Lineage: Bacteria; Pseudomonadati; Pseudomonadota; Gammaproteobacteria; Oceanospirillales; Halomonadaceae.
CCUACGGGGAGCAGCAGUGGGGAAUAUUGGACAAUGGGCGAAAGCCUGAUCCAGCCAUGCCGCGUGUGUGAAGAAGGCCUUCGGGUUGUAAAGCACUUUCAGUGGGGAAGAAAGCCUUGGGGCUAAUACCCUCGAGGAAGGACAUCACCCACAGAAGAAGCACCGGCUAACUCCGUGCCAGCAGCCGCGGUAAUACGGAGGGUGCGAGCGUUAAUCGGAAUUACUGGGCGUAAAGCGCGCGUAGGCGGUCUGAUAAGCCGGUUGUGAAAGCCCCGGGCUCAACCUGGGAACGGCAUCCGGAACUGUCAGGCUAGAGUGCAGGAGAGGAAGGUAGAAUUCCCGGUGUAGGGGUGAAAUGCGUAGAGAUCGGGAGGAAUACCAGUGGCGAAGGCGGCCUUCUGGACUGACACUGACGCUGAGGUGCGAAAGCGUGGGUAGCAAACAGGAUUAGAUACCCGGGUAGUC